This 422-nucleotide ribosomal RNA is filed under the name Calyptommatus sp. RSRecoder-2022-2. RNAcentral describes it as "partial large subunit ribosomal RNA". It matches the Rfam family "Bacterial large subunit ribosomal RNA", at positions 1924 to 2566 of the family's 2925-position model. Lineage: Eukaryota; Metazoa; Chordata; Lepidosauria; Squamata; Gymnophthalmidae. The record is from RNAcentral.
UCAACGGCCGCGGGAUUCUCCACCGUGCAAAGGUAGCAUAAUCACUUGUCUCCUAAAUAGAGACUAGUAUGAAUGGCCAAAUGAAGAUUUACCUGUCUCUUGAAGCCUAUCUAUGAAACUGAUCUUUCAGUACAAAAGCUGAAAUUUAAACACAAGACGAAAAGACCCUGUGGAACUUAAAGCCACAGCCAACAUAAUGGACCCAUUGCUUUUAGUUGGGGCAACUUUGGAAAAAAACAAAACUUCCAAUUAACUAUCUAGGCAGACAUGCCGACAUACAAGAAAUUAGAUCCAGUACUACUGAUUAAAGAAAAAAGCUACCCCAGGGAUAACAGCGCCAUCCCCUCUUAGAGCCCCCAUCGACGAGCGGGGUUUACGACCUCGAUGUUGGAUCAGGGCACCCAAGCAGUGCAGCAACUGCU